GGCAAGAUGGCCGAGCGGUCUAAGGCGCUGUGUUCAGGUUCCUCAGCUUCCGAGCAGUUGAAUUUCGCAGUCUUCGGGCGUGGGUUCGAAUCCCACUCUUGUCA
This 104-nucleotide transfer RNA is filed under the name Trichosporon asahii var. asahii CBS 2479. RNAcentral describes it as "tRNA-Leu". It matches the Rfam family "tRNA". Rfam says of the family: Transfer RNA (tRNA) molecules are approximately 80 nucleotides in length. Their secondary structure includes four short double-helical elements and three loops (D, anti-codon, and T loops). RNAcentral also lists the same sequence under 1 other name. The record is from RNAcentral. Lineage: Eukaryota; Fungi; Basidiomycota; Tremellomycetes; Trichosporonales; Trichosporonaceae.